CCGUGAGAACAUCAAAUCAUUUUCGUUCACAUCUUAUACGAGAUGUAAAGAAUGUAAUUAAAAAGUUUCAUAAGAAAGGAUGGGGAAUACUUUGUACACAUUAGAAGACGAAAAAAGCUACCAGAUCCAAAAUAGUUUCAAGUUGGAAAACAGCCAGAGGCCUUACCUUGAAGUGCAAAAAAAGGUUGACUGAACUUUCUACAUCUUUACACGACAACAGACGAGUGUCUUCCAUUGCGAUAACAGCUCAAAGGCUGUUCUCGAGAUUUUUCAAAAAAUGCCGAGCUUCAGACGCCAUCACUAAAGAGAAUGCAUGACUUCAUAGCGCCAUUUUUAAAAGCAAAGAAUUCUCUGUGUUCAAUCCAUAAUGUCGCUGUCUAAGCAUAAAAGUCGGAGAACGAAGUUCACGAAA
Non-coding RNA from Zootermopsis nevadensis, 412 nucleotides. The record is from RefSeq and is a predicted model, not a curated record. NCBI's taxonomy places the organism in Eukaryota, Metazoa, Arthropoda, Insecta, Blattodea, Termopsidae.